This 305-nucleotide ribosomal RNA is filed under the name uncultured bacterium. RNAcentral describes it as "bacterial SSU rRNA". It matches the Rfam family "Bacterial small subunit ribosomal RNA", at positions 337 to 659 of the family's 1533-position model. The record is from RNAcentral.
ACCUACGGGAGGCAGCAGUGGGGAAUAUUGCGCAAUGGGCGAAACCCUGAUGCAGCGACGCCGCGUGGGUGAAGAAGCGCCUCGGCGCGUAAAGCCCUGUCAGCAGGGAAGAAAAUGACGGUACCUGAAGAAGAAGCCCCGGCUAACUACGUGCCAGCAGCCGCGGUAAUACGUAGGGGGCAAGCGUUAUCCGGAUUUACUGGGUGUAAAGGGGGCGCAGACGGCGAUGCAAGCCAGGAGUGAAAGCCCGGGGCCCAACCCCGGGACUGCUCUUGGAACUGAGUGGCUGGAGUGCAGGAGGGGCG